UACGAAGGGGGCUAGCGUUGCUCGGAAUGACUGGGCGUAAAGGGCGCGUAGGCGGUUUGUACAGUCAGGUGUGAAAUUCCCGGGCUCAACCUGGGGGCUGCACUUGAUACGUAUGGACUGGAGUGGGGAAGAGGGUCGUGGAAUUCCCUGUGUAGCGGUGAAAUGCGUAGAGAUGGGGGAGAACACUCGUGGCGAAGGCGGCCAGCUAGACCAGUUCUGACACUGAGGCGCGACAGCGUGGGGAGCAAACAGG
Molecule: ribosomal RNA, 253 nt
Filed under: uncultured bacterium
Lineage: Bacteria
Description: partial 16S ribosomal RNA
Rfam family: Bacterial small subunit ribosomal RNA
Source: RNAcentral